Molecule: long non-coding RNA, 562 nt
Filed under: Mytilus galloprovincialis (Mediterranean mussel)
Lineage: Eukaryota; Metazoa; Mollusca; Bivalvia; Mytilida; Mytilidae
Source: RNAcentral
GCUGUUUUAAUCAGUUUACUUCUAGUUGCAUUGCAUAAAAGAAGAAAGGGUUCUAUGUCGAUUAAAACAUCUCAAUAAAUGUUUUAUUCAUCAUGAAAUAUCGGAACCAAUUUAUUAUAUCUGAUAUUGGAUUGCGGUACAUGAUUAUCAAGAAAAGAGCUAUUCUUAGUUCUCAACAACUUCUCAUUCCGUAAAAAUAUAUGACAGAUGCAGAUUCAGAUUCAGAUUCAAUAUUUUAUUAUAGUCUAAGAUAAAUAAUAAAAUUAACGGUACCAAUUUUCUUGCACCAGAUGCGCAUUUCGACAAUACAUGUCUCUUCAGUGAUGCUCGUGGCCAAAAUAUUUGAAAUCCAAAGCUUAUAUAAAAGAUGAAGAGCUAUAAUCCAAAAGGUCCAAAAAGUAUAGCCAAAUCCGUGAAAGGAAUCAGAGCUUUGCAUGAGGGAGAUACAUUCCUUAAUUUAUAAUAAUUUCUAAUAUUUGUAACAGCAAAUUUUAAUAACACAAAAAAUCCGUAUUUUCAUGCCAGUACCGAAAAACUGGCUACUGGGCUGGUGAUACCCUCG